GAAUCUAAAACGUUGUCACGAUUUAACAAGACAAAAGCAGAUAGAUCACUUAUCAAGUUUAUUUCGACAUAAGACAUAGCCAUGUAUAAACUGACUGCCUGCCUUCUAGCUGUCCUGAUUUUUGGCCUCGUCAAUGGAGAAGGUUGUACAACUGUUGGAGACUGUGCUCACACCAGUUGUGACAAUGAAUCAACAUUGCAGUGCGAUAGCCAGAACGGAAUAUGUGUGUGUGUUUUAAACGACUCCCAAUGUUCCAGUAAACAGGAAUGCUUAGAUACACAGGACUGGUGGUGCCCAGACCGUUUGAGGCAUUGCUUUGAUGGCAAAUGUGUUUGUCAGUAUAUUCCUGCAUAACUUAUGUGAAUAAUAAACAGACAUGGGCAGUUUACAUAUUAUGGAAUGAGAAUGAGAAAUAAAUUUUAUUUUAUUGUGAACAA
This is a long non-coding RNA of Mytilus trossulus (common blue mussel), 437 nucleotides long. RefSeq lists it as uncharacterized. NCBI's taxonomy places the organism in Eukaryota, Metazoa, Mollusca, Bivalvia, Mytilida, Mytilidae. The record is from RefSeq and is a predicted model, not a curated record. The transcript has 4 exons.